This is a long non-coding RNA of Rhinolophus ferrumequinum (greater horseshoe bat), 2804 nucleotides long. RefSeq lists it as uncharacterized. The transcript has 4 exons. Lineage: Eukaryota; Metazoa; Chordata; Mammalia; Chiroptera; Rhinolophidae. The record is from RefSeq and is a predicted model, not a curated record.
UGCAGGUUUCCCCUCUUUUCUCAUUCCCUGAAGUUGCAGCCUCAGUUGUUUUCACUCUUGUCGCUUGUGCUUCUUCGCUUUUCCUACCAUCGUUGUGUAGAAGGGCUUUGGAGACAGUCAUCCCGUUCCAGCCUCAGGUCGGCGACUAACUGGUAUUUGACUGCUUCUCUGAACCUCAAGUUGCUUGUCUGGAAAAUGGGAAUGCAAAUGCUUACCUCGGAAGGUCGUUUUAAGCUUUAAAGAAGUAAAUCGCUUAGCACAGUGUUUGACAGCUUGCUGGUAGCUAAUCACUUGUUGCCAUUACUGUCAUAAUUUGAUCUUGCCCUUAACAGUAUUCGUGGUAGAGGUUAUGCCAAAGGCUCUGGCAGCUGAAGCUGAGAGACCUGAAGAAAGCACAGUUUUGAUUCCGGAUAAAACUGCAUUAUUGUAGUCCACUUUUCCCUUCUGGAAUUUGUGUAAAUAUUUAACCUAUUUUAAGUCUCACCUCUUGAGAAAGCCUGAUUUUGAAGAAAAAUCUCUUAGCACUUUGCGAUAGUCUAAUCGUUUAUUCAGUUAUUUACUUCAUCUCUCCUCCCGUAAGAAUUAAACUCCAUAAGGGCAAGAAUUUUGUUUUUUUUCAUUGCUCUAUCCCAGCACUUCUGUCUGGCACAUAGUAGGUGCUCAAUAAAUAUUUUUGAAUGAAUGAAUGAGUUAUACAGAAUGCUAAUGGCCUUGAGAAUAUAUUUAUGAGACUGUUAACAAGAAAUUUCAUUUUCUUUUUUAUUUAUUAUUUGAGAAGAUUAUCAGCUCUUCAUGGUUAUCCUUUCAAAGUCCAACAUUAAAAUUAAUGUAUGUUAAUCUCUUAUGACUUGAUGUCCUUCGAUUCUUUGGUGUUUAUUUGUUGUGUUUCCCUGCAGAUCUAUGACAGCUCAGCACAUAACUUCUGUAUCUCUUGAUAAAUACGAGUCAAAAUCAAUCUUUCUCUAUCCCAAUCUCAUUUCCAGGCUGCAAACUGGUAACUUACACUUUGUCUCACAAAUAUCAAAUGAUAAAUUCACAUUAAAUUUUUUAUUCUAAUCUACUAGCUUAAAAAUCAACCUGUAGGUUAUUAUUCCAAGAAUUCCACUUUUAUAUCAUAACCUCCUAACCAUAUUACCGUGAUGAAUAUCAUUAUAAUUAAUUAGGCAGCAUAGUUAAGCACUUCCACUCUGCCAUAAGACUUCUGAGUUUCAAAUUCAAUCUCUAAAAGAUACCAGCUUGUGACUUUGGACAAGUUACGUAGCUUUUUUGUGCCUCAGUCACCUCAUCUGUAAAUUAGGAUAUUAUAUGUAUCUUAAUGUUUUUUAAGGAUUAAAUGAAGAAUUAUUUAGAUGUUUUAGUAUCUGACAUAGUAAGUACUACAUAAGUAUAAGCAAUUGUUGUUCAUAAAUAGCUAAUACUUUAUUAUAAUAGUUACUACUAUCAACAUAUUUCAAAAUGAAAGUUAAAAACUGGAAAGGUGCCUCUGCAUUCUCAGAAAAUAUAACAUGAUUCUUCCUGUUAUACAGGUUUCUAGGUGUCAAAGACUAAAUGUUACUCUCACUAUGUCUAGAUUUUUCACAGUAAUGUAACAGCUUUAUAUAAACUGUCAAAUUCCUAGAACCAACCCGAAUAACACAAUCAUACCUUUCAAAACCGCUCUAGAACUGAUUUUUGGUGAAAAGAUAAAUCCUUCUCCUAGAAGACAACCUAUCCCAUUGUCAGUCUGCUUACUUAAAACAAAGCUUCUGAGUUCUGAAGUCUUGCCUGUGGGUAGCAAAGAACAGAGCCAAGACCCUGCACUAUUUCUUAGGACUAAGGACACAAUUUUCAUCUGGAUAGAGGAAGGAAUAUUUGCUCUGAGAGCCCCGUUGUUGUGAUUUUUGUCUGUUCCUCGUAAGUGUGGUGGAAUAAUAUUAACAGGUUGCCUCCCCCACCCAAUAUUCUCUUCUCUCAAUCUGUUUGCCCAUCACUCAACCCCAAAAAGCACCUAAGCAUUCUGUGUUCAUUGCUUUAAGAGAAAGAUAUGACUGCAAAAAAAGAGAGAGGAAGAAAGGAGACACUCCUAGCUUUGGUGUUGCAAAAGGCUUGGCUUUUCAAGAACAAAAAAGACACCUAGCAUAGCAAGAGAUUUGCACAGAACAUCUUUUGUAAGAGCAUAGCUUUCCAGUGGCAGAAAAAAAUAAAACUCAAACACGUAAGAAUGGAAAAGCCACUCUCAGGCUCUGCCUGCUAAAUUUAAGACUACCUAAGGAUAAUUGUAGGUUUGUUAAUCUAGAACAUUGAACCUCUGGGAGACAGCAGAGGCCACCAGGGGACAGUAGAGUCUGCCACAAGCAGAAGUCAUCUCACAGAUGGAAAUGGCGCAGUGGACUUUGUGCCUGAACAUUCCCACUAUGACAAGAUUCUUCUAGGCGUUGGAAGUGAUAGGACAAAAUAUACUGAUUAUCAGUUUACACUAACGCCAGAUAAAUACUGAUCACUGGUGGCGACAGUUUGAAGGUCAAAAAGGAACCAUGGACUAGAAAUAUUUAAGGUCUCACUCUGCAGAAAGCAUCUGGCACGCAAGACGAAACUGAACGUCUACAACCCAGCAAAGGACUCUGCUCAUCACACAGAACAGCUAAGAGACUCCUACGAGGAUUACUUGAAGGGCCCAACUCAAGAGAUUCAACACACCCUGAGGCCAACUCCAGACCAAACCAGAGUACUACCGGGUUUGACCUACAAGUGACACACCCAGAGGGAAUUCUCUACAGGCACAAGAGCCCAUAGGGGCCAAGCCUCAUUUGAGCGGUCAGCCCUCA